This 440-nucleotide ribosomal RNA is filed under the name uncultured bacterium. RNAcentral describes it as "partial 16S ribosomal RNA". It matches the Rfam family "Bacterial small subunit ribosomal RNA", at positions 338 to 795 of the family's 1533-position model. The record is from RNAcentral.
CCUACGGGUGGCAGCAGUAGGGAAUAUUGCUCAAUGGGGGAAACCCUGAAGCAGCAACGCCGCGUGGAGGAUGAAGGUUUUCGGAUUGUAAACUCCUUUUGUUAGAGAAGAGAAUGACGGUAUCUAACGAAUAAGCACCGGAUAACUCCGUGCCAGAAGCCGCGGUAAUACGGAGGGUGCAAGCGUUACUCGGAAUCACUGGGCGUAAAGAGGGCGUAGGCGGGGUAGCAAGUCAGAUGUGAAAUCCUAUGGCUUAACCCUAGAACUGCAUUUGAAACUGUUAUUCUUGAGUAUGGGAGAGGUAGGUGGAAUUCUUGGUGUAGGGGUAAAAUGCGUAGAGAUCAGGAGGAAUACUCAUUGCGAAGGCGACCUGCUAGAACAUAACUGACGCUGAUGCGCGAAAGCGUGGGGAGCAAACAGGAUUAGAUACCCCUGUAGUC